UCGGUAGUGCUAAUGAAAAGUGUAACUUUAGCCUCCCAGCUGUACGUCUCAAUUCAUAAUCCUUCCCCAAAAUCCUGGCCAUAGAGCCGCCUCCCUCUCCCAUGGUGCUCCCCAUCCUGAGCCGGCCCGGGCCUGAUUCAGUUCUGUGUCCACCUCGCAACCUGAGCGCCGUCUCGGGCCGCUUUCCGCAGUUGGGAAACCAGUUUGCAGCCCAGUUGCGUUGACACCCAACUCCCCGUGACCCUGUGUGACUAGAACACGGACAUUUUGGCCGAGGCUUGCUUUCUCUCUGUGGAUUUGUCCCUGCAGUAUGGAGGUCAGAGUCCAAACAGACGCAGCCAGACGCAUGGCCACAGUUUGGUAAGCAGAUUCGCAGGCAGGUAGGUCUGCUCCAGGUGCCCGCUGCCCCCGCAACCCUUCCCACAGGGAUCCCCCGCUGCUCCGAAGCACUCGGGUCAGGGCCGAGGACCCAGUGGGCUCCGAGCGCAGGUCACGAAGGGCUCGGAUAGGCCAGAGAUGAGACGGCGGACUGGCAUGACGACCGGUGUUUGAUGUGGCGCCGGACUGGGCUAUGUUACCGUGUUACUUUGGCUUUAAUUAGCUCCUGCAGCUGCUACUUCCUGGUUGACGAGUCUUAGAAGACCGUGGCUCUGUAAUCUCUUACAGCUGUUUUGAGAGCUGCCAUCAAAGCUGCAAGUGGGAGACGCAGGCGAGGCGGCCACUCAGAGCUGCAAACGGAGAUGACGCUUUGAAGGUACGAGAUUGACACUAUUGUGAUCACAAUGCACAACAGGAGGCGACUUUGAAGGGGAAAAAUGCGGUGAGUGUCGGCUUUCGCGUUAGAAACGAAAAACAUGCGUGGAAUGUACGGAAAACAACAGAGGGACAAACUCGGACCGGCGAAAAAAAUAUCAAUAGGUCAACCUCCCACAAUCUCUUGUGAUAGAUUAGCAAUAGACUAGCUGUGAAUAUUGAUCAUUUUCAUUGACUAUGAAAGGAAUGCCAAUGUUAAAAGGUCAUGGCUCUUCCAGAUGGUGGCAACCAGUAAUUGGGAUGAUGUGUCUGGGAUGUUUCUGAAAAGUGCUGUUGAAUGAUGUAAAAAAAAAAA
Syngnathus acus (greater pipefish) is the source of this 1108-nucleotide long non-coding RNA. RefSeq lists it as uncharacterized. Lineage: Eukaryota; Metazoa; Chordata; Actinopteri; Syngnathiformes; Syngnathidae. The record is from RefSeq and is a predicted model, not a curated record. The transcript has 3 exons.